Molecule: long non-coding RNA, 591 nt
Organism: Ornithorhynchus anatinus (platypus)
Lineage: Eukaryota; Metazoa; Chordata; Mammalia; Monotremata; Ornithorhynchidae
Exons: 4
Source: RefSeq, a predicted model, not a curated record
GAAAUAAAACGAGUGAAAUCUAGCAGUUUCCCGAGGUUCUUACGAACUGCAGAGGAAAUCAGCCCCUCCAGGAAAUUCUGUUCUUCACUCAAAAUACAUCACAAGAAAAUCACAUUAAGCAGUGGGGAGGUAGGGAGGAAGCAGAGAGAAGGGGAGAGAGGAAAUGAAAUUAAUGCUGCACCGACUGGAUCCCAGGAGAAUAUGAGGCAACUCAAGAUGGGGAAACUGAGGCCUGGAGAGAUUAGUGCUUGCUCUGGGACUCCCGGGAGGCCAUGAGGGAGCUGGAACUUGAACCUGGAUAUCCUGACACCCAGACCCAAACUCUCUCCAGCAAACCCUCUUUCCUCCUACUAGUCUUCUCUUCUGCAUCGCUUAUGGACUUGGAUCUUCACCCCGGAGGCCCCCGGGUGCCAUCCUCUCUACCCGUCUGCCAGGAGCAGCAGGGUGGCCGCGCUGAAGAUCUUUUACUUCUAUCACGGGAGGCGAGCGUUCGGAUCUUUCCCUGCGCCAGCUCCCCGUGGAGACCUGAGAAUGUCUCUCCUGAAAGCCUCCCUGGCUGCUUCUGCAAUUAACCCUGCCAACUGUAUCCUG